UAUUUUCCUUUUUUUCCCUCAGCCGCGGUAAUACGUAGGGGGCUAGCGUUAUCCGGAAUUACUGGGCGUAAAGGGUGCGUAGGUGGUUUCUUAAGUCAGAGGUGAAAGGCUACGGCUCAACCGUAGUAAGCCUUUGAAACUGAGAAACUUGAGUGCAGGAGAGGAGAGUAGAAUUCCUAGUGUAGCGGUGAAAUGCGUAGAUAUUAGGAGGAAUACCAGUUGCGAAGGCGGCUCUCUGGACUGUAACUGACACUGAGGCACGAAAGCGUGGGGAGCAAACAGG
RNAcentral lists this ribosomal RNA (283 nucleotides) under Romboutsia sedimentorum. Its description in RNAcentral is "partial 16S ribosomal RNA". It matches the Rfam family "Bacterial small subunit ribosomal RNA", at positions 494 to 776 of the family's 1533-position model. The record is from RNAcentral. Lineage: Bacteria; Bacillati; Bacillota; Clostridia; Peptostreptococcales; Peptostreptococcaceae.